GGUGUAAUUCAUAUUUACUUAUUAAAGAUGCUUAUUGUUUUUGAUUUCUCUAGAUGUUUGAAGACAUGAGAGGAGAGCAAUAGAAACAUAAACUUAUUACAUAUCUUUACUGUGUUGUGUUCAGAUUUUCAGUCAAAAAACAGAAUGUUUGAUGAACCUCAGUCUUGUAGAGAUAAUUUUAAAGCUCUUGUUGUAUUCACUGCAUAAAACAACUAUAAUAUCAUGUAUUUUUGUGUUUUCUUUCAGAGAAUGAACCACUUCUAUUAAAAACAACAUGGCAGCCAGCAGUUCUAUUGGAAGCAUCCAAGAAUUAUGAGAAUGUUCAACUGGUGGACACAGAAAACAAGCUAAUAAUAAUGAGGAACCCUUC
This is a long non-coding RNA of Xiphophorus hellerii (green swordtail), 370 nucleotides long. RefSeq lists it as uncharacterized. NCBI's taxonomy places the organism in Eukaryota, Metazoa, Chordata, Actinopteri, Cyprinodontiformes, Poeciliidae. The transcript is spliced from 3 exons. The record is from RefSeq and is a predicted model, not a curated record.